This 440-nucleotide ribosomal RNA is filed under the name uncultured bacterium. RNAcentral describes it as "partial 16S ribosomal RNA". It matches the Rfam family "Bacterial small subunit ribosomal RNA", at positions 338 to 795 of the family's 1533-position model. The record is from RNAcentral.
CCUACGGGGGGCAGCAGUGGGGAAUAUUGCACAAUGGGGGGAACCCUGAUGCAGCGACGCCGCGUGAGUGAAGAAGUCAUUCGUGAUGUAAAGCUCUAUCAGCAGGGAAGAAAAUGACGGUACCUGACUAAGAAGCCCCGGCUAACUACGUGCCAGCAGCCGCGGUAAUACGUAGGGGGCAAGCGUUAUCCGGAUUUACUGGGUGUAAAGGGAGCGUAGACGGCAGCGCAAGUCCGAAGUGAAAGCCCGGGGCCCAACCCCGGGACUGCUUUGGAAACUGUGAAGCUGGAGUGCAGGAGAGGUAAGUGGAAUUCCUAGUGUAGCGGUGAAAUGCGUAGAUAUUAGGAGGAACACCAGUGGCGAAGGCGGCUUACUGGACUGUAACUGACGUUGAGGCUCGAAAGCGUGGGGAGCAAACAGGAUUAGAUACCCGAGUAGUC